Molecule: unclassified non-coding RNA, 248 nt
Filed under: uncultured fungus
Lineage: Eukaryota; Fungi
Description: partial contains small subunit ribosomal RNA, internal transcribed spacer 1, and 5.8S ribosomal RNA
Rfam family: Eukaryotic small subunit ribosomal RNA (bases 1-73)
Source: RNAcentral
UCAAACUUGGUCAUUUAGAGGAAGUAAAAGUCGUAACAAGGUCUCCGUAGGUGAACCUGCGGAGGGAUCAUUAAUGAAUGAUCAUCCUUGAUCUUCUUACCCUCAAACCACUGUGGAACACAACAUGUGCUUCGGCGCCCAGUGGCGCCGCUUUUAUGCUUCAACAAUGCCCUUUGUGUCUGACAAAUCAAAAUAUCAAAACUUUCAACAAAGGAUCUCUUGGCUCUCGCAUCGAUGAAGAACGCAGC